AGAAACUUAGGUUAACUCUAAACCGAGGGCCUUCAAAGCCCCAAACAGGAUAUUACAACUCCUAGUUUCUG
RNAcentral lists this transfer RNA (71 nucleotides) under Strophurus assimilis (Goldfields spiny-tailed gecko). RNAcentral's name for it is "tRNA-Trp". Lineage: Eukaryota; Metazoa; Chordata; Lepidosauria; Squamata; Diplodactylidae. The record is from RNAcentral.